UUAUUAUAGCAAAGAGGAUACACCUGUUCCCAUACCGAACACAGAAGUUAAGCUCUUUAGCGGCAAUGGUACUUGGUUGGCAACCGCCUGGGAGAGUAG
RNAcentral lists this ribosomal RNA (99 nucleotides) under uncultured Romboutsia sp. The record is from RNAcentral. Lineage: Bacteria; Bacillati; Bacillota; Clostridia; Peptostreptococcales; Peptostreptococcaceae.